UACGAAGGGGGCUAGCGUUGUUCGGAAUCACUGGGCGUAAAGCGCACGUAGGCGGAUCUUUAAGUCAGGGGUGAAAUCCCGAGGCUCAACCUCGGAACUGCCUUUGAAACUGGGGAUCUCGAGUCCGGGAGAGGUGAGUGGAACUGCGAGUGUAGAGGUGAAAUUCGUAGAUAUUCGCAAGAACACCAGUGGCGAAGGCGGCUCACUGGCCCGGAACUGACGCUGAGGUGCGAAAGCGUGGGGAGCAAACAGG
This 253-nucleotide ribosomal RNA is filed under the name uncultured bacterium. RNAcentral describes it as "partial 16S ribosomal RNA". It matches the Rfam family "Bacterial small subunit ribosomal RNA", at positions 524 to 776 of the family's 1533-position model. The record is from RNAcentral.